This 217-nucleotide unclassified non-coding RNA is filed under the name Glomeraceae sp. Its description in RNAcentral is "partial contains 5.8S ribosomal RNA and internal transcribed spacer 2". The stretch from base 1 to 71 matches the Rfam family "5.8S ribosomal RNA", at positions 84 to 154 of the family's 154-position model. Lineage: Eukaryota; Fungi; Glomeromycota; Glomeromycetes; Glomerales; Glomeraceae. The record is from RNAcentral.
GUGAAUCAUCGAAUUUUUGAACGCAAAUUGCACUCCCUGGUAUUCCGGGGAGUAUGCCUGUUUGAGGGUCGUUAGAAUAAAAAAUCGAGGCGUCGCUCUUUUUUUUUAAGGUUGAUCGCGUCGGAUUUGAGUCGUCUUUAAUUUUUAUUUCUUGUCAAAGUGGCUAAAAAUUUAAUCAAUCCGUUACGAUAAAAGCUUAUUUAAGAUAAAUUUUGUU